Long non-coding RNA from Theobroma umbraticum, 1089 nucleotides. RefSeq lists it as uncharacterized. Lineage: Eukaryota; Viridiplantae; Streptophyta; Magnoliopsida; Malvales; Malvaceae. The record is from RefSeq and is a predicted model, not a curated record.
UGCUUUGAAUGCUUUGAGGCUUAGUUGAGAAUUUGGUUAGGUUUUAUUGAGUAUACAUUAAAGCAUAUGAAGCAUAAUUGAUGGAUUGUUGACUAUGGUGAGGUGGGAGUAGGUUGGACACCUAGAAAAUCAAUUUGGAAGCUGAAAAGGUGGAAGACAAGCUACUGUAAGAAAUUUAUCAAUACGUUACUUAAUGUAUUGAUGGAUUCAUGGCAGAAUGUACCAGGAGAUCAUUUUAUAAAAAAUGUAUUAAUGUAUUGUAUAAAUGUAUUGAUAGAAUUAUGAUAAAAUACGUCCUGUAUAAAAUGUAUUAAUAGAUUUUAAAAUGUAUCCAUACAUGCAUGUAAUAGUGCAAAAAAUGUAAAGACUCUCGAGUUGAACGCCUUGUUUUGUUCUUCUUCAACCCGAGGCACACACUCCUCUCCAUCCCCAUGCCAGCUUCCAAGGUAGAAAGAAGAAGUGAUUUAAUAGGAAAAUACACCGAUUAAAGUGUUGAGGUGCUGGGAAUUUGUUGUUGAAAGUGGGCAUAACAGAGAAUAUGGUUGGAGCAUAAAUUCUGCCAAUUAGAGCGUUGGUGAGCUGUGUUGAUUGAAGCUGCUGUGUUUGUGAGCUGGAAAACUUAAGAAUAAUAAGUUUGUGAAGGCUUAAGCUGAUUGUAGAGCUGAGGAUUGGUUAGCUGUGUAAUUAAAUUGUUGUAUUGCUGGCAUUGAGAUAAAUAGCUCCUUGGGGUUCUUGUUGAGGGUGAGUGACUAGCUUUGCAUGGUCGAUAUCGAGGCAUCUGCUAGACAUUUUCCUAUUCGAGUCAACUCCGCUGGUAAAGUUUUAUAUAAGUGUGACUAUCUGUAGCCAAUUGUAUAAGGCUGAAGCUCACAAAUUGUAGCCAAUAUACGACAUUCUAUAACUUCAUUAUGUAAACACUGUUGGUAUAUGAGUGUAUGCGCAUAUAGUGCUGUUUAUAAAUAUAACUUGAUAAGACUGUGUAAAAGUUUAAAUUCGAUUGUAAACUUAUUUAUGUGAAUACACACACACAUUUGAGGUGGUUCUUGUCAUUUCAUUGUGUUGAUGUGUUAGCGGUGUUGGUAAAACCUU